Cyprinus carpio (common carp) is the source of this 248-nucleotide long non-coding RNA. RefSeq lists it as uncharacterized. The record is from RefSeq and is a predicted model, not a curated record. The transcript is spliced from 3 exons. NCBI's taxonomy places the organism in Eukaryota, Metazoa, Chordata, Actinopteri, Cypriniformes, Cyprinidae.
CCGGACCCGGCUAAACUCUUCGGUGCCAACACACCCACUGUGUUUUGCAGAUUUGACAAGUCAUUCAUCUAUCAUCUCAGAGUCUAUGCAUAUCAAGCCAAGAAUCUUCUGCCUAUGGACAAAGACAGCUUUUCUGAUCCCUAUGUGUAUGUGUCAUUCUUGCAUGUCAGCAAGACUACAGAGAGUGUGAAGUCCAGUCUCAACCCCACAUGGGAUCAAACCCUUAUUUUUGAUGACAUUGAAAUCUA